RNAcentral lists this ribosomal RNA (417 nucleotides) under uncultured bacterium. RNAcentral describes it as "bacterial SSU rRNA". It matches the Rfam family "Bacterial small subunit ribosomal RNA", at positions 355 to 786 of the family's 1533-position model. The record is from RNAcentral.
UGGGGAAUAUUGGGCAAUGGGCGAAAGCCUGACCCAGCAACGCCGCGUGAGGGAAGAAGGGUUUCGGCUCGUAAACCUCUGUCCUAUGGGACGAAGGAAGUGACGGUACCAUAGGAGGAAGCCCCGGCUAACUACGUGCCAGCAGCCGCGGUAAUACGUAGGGGGCGAGCGUUGUCCGGAAUGAUUGGGCGUAAAGGGCGCGUAGGCGGCCUGUUAAGUCUGGAGUGAAAGUCCUGCUUUCAAGGUGGGAAUUGCUUUGGAUACUGAUGGGCUGGAGUGCAGGAGAGGAAAGCGGAAUUACCGGUGUAGCGGUGAAAUGCGUAGAGAUCGGUAGGAACACCAGUGGCGAAGGCGGCUUUCUGGACUGAAACUGACGCUGAGGCACGAAAGCGUGGGGAUCGAACAGGAUUAGAUACC